AGAGCAAACCGGGGGAACUGAAACAUCUAAGUACCCCGAGGAGAAGAAAUCAACCGAGAUUCCGGUAGUAGCGGCGAGCGAACCUGGAUUAGCCCUUAAGCACUCAGUGAAGUAGGUGAACAAGCUGGAAAGCUUGGCGAUACAGGGUGAUAGCCCCGUAACCGACGCUUCAUCGAGCGUGAAAUCGAGUAGGGCGGGACACGUGAUAUCCUGUCUGAAUAUGGGGGGACCAUCCUCCAAGGCUAAAUACUCCUGACUGACCGAUAGUGAACCAGUACCGUGAGGGAAAGGCGAAAAGAACCCCUGUGAGGGGAGUGAAAUAGAACCUGAAACCGUGUACGUACAAGCAGUAGGAGCACCUUCGUGGUGUGACUGCGUACCUUUUGUAUAAUGGGUCAGCGACUUAUAUUCAGUGGCAAGGUUAACCGUAUAGGGGAGCCGUAGCGAAAGCGAGUCUUAACUGGGCGCUCAGUCUCUGGAUAUAGACCCGAAACCGGGUGAUCUAGCCAUGGGCAGGUUGAAGGUUGAGUAACAUCAACUGGAGGACCGAACCGACUAAUGUUGAAAAAUUAGCGGAUGACUUGUGGCUAGGGGUGAAAGGCCAAUCAAACUCGGAGAUAGCUGGUUCUCCCCGAAAGCUAUUUAGGUAGCGCCUCGGACGAAUACUACUGGGGGUAGAGCACUGUUAAGGCUAGGGGGUCAUCCCGACUUACCAACCCUUUGCAAACUCCGAAUACCAGUAAGUACUAUCCGGGAGACACACGGCGGGUGCUAACGUCCGUCGUGGAGAGGGAAACAACCCAGACCGCCAGCUAAGGUCCCAAAGUAUUGCUAAGUGGGAAACGAUGUGGGAAGGCUCAGACAGCUAGGAUGUUGGCUUAGAAGCAGCCAUCAUUUAAAGAAAGCGUAAUAGCUCACUAGUCGAGUCGGCCUGCGCGGAAGAUGUAACGGGGCUAAGCAAUACACCGAAGCUGCGGCAAUAUCUUUUAGAUAUUGGGUAGGGGAGCGUUCUGUAAGCCGUUGAAGGUGAAUCGUAAGGUUUGCUGGAGGUAUCAGAAGUGCGAAUGCUGACAUGAGUAACGACAAAGGGGGUGAAAAACCUCCUCGCCGGAAGACCAAGGGUUCCUGUCCAACGUUAAUCGGGGCAGGGUGAGUCGACCCCUAAGGUGAGGCCGAAAGGCGUAAUCGAUGGGAAACGGGUUAAUAUUCCCGUACUUCUGACUAUUGCGAUGGGGGGACGGAGAAGGCUAGGUGGGCCAGGCGACGGUUGUCCUGGUUCAAGUGCGUAGGCUUGAGAGUUAGGUAAAUCCGGCUCUCUCUAAGGCUGAGACACGACGUCGAGCUGCUACGGCAGUGAAGUCAUUGAUGCCAUGCUUCCAGGAAAAGCCUCUAAGCUUCAGAUAGUCAGGAAUCGUACCCCAAACCGACACAGGUGGUCGGGUAGAGAAUACCAAGGCGCUUGAGAGAACUCGGGUGAAGGAACUAGGCAAAAUGGUACCGUAACUUCGGGAGAAGGUACGCUCUUGAUGGUGAAGUCCCUCGCGGAUGGAGCUGACGAGAGUCGCAGAUACCAGGUGGCUGCAACUGUUUAUUAAAAACACAGCACUGUGCAAAAUCGCAAGAUGACGUAUACGGUGUGACGCCUGCCCGGUGCCGGAAGGUUAAUUGAUGGGGUUAGCGCAAGCGAAGCUCUUGAUCGAAGCCCCGGUAAACGGCGGCCGUAACUAUAACGGUCCUAAGGUAGCGAAAUUCCUUGUCGGGUAAGUUCCGACCUGCACGAAUGGCGUAAUGAUGGCCACGCUGUCUCCACCCGAGACUCAGUGAAAUUGAAAUCGCUGUGAAGAUGCAGUGUACCCGCGGCUAGACGGAAAGACCCCGUGAACCUUUACUACAGCUUGGCACUGAACAUUGAACCUACAUGUGUAGGAUAGGUGGGAGGCUUUGAAGACGUGACGCCAGUUGCGUUGGAGCCGUCCUUGAAAUACCACCCUUGUAUGUUUGAUGUUCUAACUUAGACCCAUUAUCUGGGUUGAGGACAGUGCCUGGUGGGUAGUUUGACUGGGGCGGUCUCCUCCCAAAGAGUAACGGAGGAGCACGAAGGUGGGCUAAUCACGGUUGGACAUCGUGAGGUUAGUGCAAUGGCAUAAGCCCGCUUAACUGCGAGAAUGACGGUUCGAGCAGGUGCGAAAGCAGGUCAUAGUGAUCCGGUGGUUCUGUAUGGAAGGGCCAUCGCUCAACGGAUAAAAGGUACUCCGGGGAUAACAGGCUGAUACCGCCCAAGAGUUCAUAUCGACGGCGGUGUUUGGCACCUCGAUGUCGGCUCAUCACAUCCUGGGGCUGAAGUCGGUCCCAAGGGUAUGGCUGUUCGCCAUUUAAAGUGGUACGCGAGCUGGGUUUAGAACGUCGUGAGACAGUUCGGUCCCUAUCUGCCGUGGGCGUUGGAAGAUUGAAGGGGGCUGCUCCUAGUACGAGAGGACCGGAGUGGACGAACCUCUGGUGUUCGGGUUGUGUCGCCAGACGCAUUGCCCGGUAGCUAAGUUCGGAAUUGAUAAGCGCUGAAAGCAUCUAAGCGCGAAGCGAGCCCUGAGAUGAGUCUUCCCUGAUACUUUAAGUAUCCUAAAGGGUUGUUCGAGACUAGAACGUUGAUAGGCAGGGUGUGUAAGCGUUGUGAGGCGUUGAGCUAACCUGUACUAAUUGCCCGUGAGGCUUAACCA
RNAcentral lists this ribosomal RNA (2714 nucleotides) under Vibrio cholerae. Its description in RNAcentral is "23S ribosomal RNA". It matches the Rfam family "Bacterial large subunit ribosomal RNA". Lineage: Bacteria; Pseudomonadati; Pseudomonadota; Gammaproteobacteria; Vibrionales; Vibrionaceae. The record is from RNAcentral.